GUCGACGGCCACGGUUCCAUCUCUCUCCGGCGGCCAUUUUGUUGUUGUCUUUGCUAUGCCCUAGCGCCGGCAGCCGACCACAGUGCCCUAGCCUUCCUUCUGCCACAGCCGCCACAGGGAGCAGUGAAGCCGCCUUUCCUCUUCUUCCUGUCCAAGCGCCGGUGACGUGCGAGCACAACCGAGCAGAGCCUUCACAUUUCUCUAGCGCCAUCCUCCUUCCCUCUGUGCUGCCGAGCCGACUCUUCCUCUGUUUCCCUCGCUGUGGAGAUUCCGGUGCCGCCGCCGCCGACGGCCGAAUCUCUCUGCCGACGCCACUGCUCUCUCUGGACCGGAGUAGCCUGUGCCCUAGUUAUUUUCCCCUUGCCACGGCUACUGCCGCCGCAGAUCAGCAGGCACACUCCAGCAACGUUGGUGUUCUCUCGUGCCCUAAAUCCUCAGUUCUCUAUUCCAGUGAGUUACUGGAUGAAGGCACCUAGUUGGUUCCGGAUAUCACAGCAUUAAUAGUUGUUGCUGACCCUGCUUAAUUCCGACCAGCAGCACCCCAUUGUUCCAGAAAUCAAUAAGGCUGAGAAAUAAGGACUUUGACGCGAGACGAGUAUCUCGGAGUCAGACUUGGACCUUUUC
Long non-coding RNA from Zingiber officinale, 624 nucleotides. RefSeq lists it as uncharacterized. Lineage: Eukaryota; Viridiplantae; Streptophyta; Magnoliopsida; Zingiberales; Zingiberaceae. The record is from RefSeq and is a predicted model, not a curated record. The transcript is spliced from 3 exons.